AAGCCAAAUGUGUAAGCAUGGAAGAGACCUUGGAAGCAUGGAGCCUUCACGCUGCAGAAGGAGGGACCCUGUGAUUGGUCGAAUCUGACUUGGGAAAUUCUCUGGCAGGUGAAACGCAUCCCUGCCUGGCUCCUGGAGCUCCUGCGCACAGGGGACGCGGAUGCCGCCCGUUUCGGGAAACUCCAGCCGUGCGUUCCCCCUGCUACUACGUCACCACAGAAGACAAUGUCUGUGACCAAACGCAUGGGGCUUUUCCCGCCCACUCAGCAGUGGACACCAGCUGGGGUCUCUGGCUGAGCCCUGACACGGUCCACCUGGAGACCGUCAGAUCCGCAGCUCAGCACUCCGUGGAGAGCCAGGAAGGGUCCCCAGUUUCCCGGCAUGAGAAGAAACAGCCACGCCGUGUUAUGCGACAAUUCUCCAGGACCACGGACAGCAGCACCGCUGGGGUCAGGACCCUGCCACAAACUCAUCCACAGCAAUCACUCUGCGUCUUCAGGUCUACCCACCCCUGGCUAUGGCUGCUGGGACGUUUUGGUUUUCUUUUCUCUUUAUAUGUGCUUACUGUGCCCGUACAUGUGUUUUUGUGUUUCAAUUUAUGUACAAAUGUCAAUUUUUUGGAGAGAAGUCCCUGCUCCACCAACCACUUCUCUGUGAAAUUGGAAAAAUGACUUGACAUUUAUCUUUUUGGUCUGUAAAAUGAGAAUAAUAAUAUUCUAUUAGUGUAUGAUGACACUGGGAUGAUUCACGAACACACUUUGACAAGUGCCUGGUAUACAGUAAGUGCUCCAUUAGUAUAGAUUGCUAUUCUGAUCAUGUCUUGUGUGCUUUGGCUCCUGUCUUGUUCCACCACACAUUUAGCAUGGCCUUUAGGUGCAUAUGGUUCUUUGAGAUGAUGGUUGAUCUUUCUCUGUUCCAUGUGCAUACAAGGACACUCCACUGAUUUGUGAAUGAGGACGCUUACUGGACAAGGAUUAGCACGGAACUCAGUUGCCCUGCCAGAGAGCAGGCACCCUGUGUCUUCACCUUUGCAUGGGGAGUAACACAGCCUGCACAAAUGCAGAACAAGAGCUCAGAGCAACUCUCCAUCUCAUUCUCCCAUUCCCAGGGCCAGAGUUCACAUACUUUUGUUAUAUGAUCUAAUAAAAGGCUCAACUCUUGUAGUAUCAUUCAGAAAGGACCAGUAAACCUGCAUUUGUAAAGGUGUUCAGAACCCGAACACUUUCCAAUAGAUUAGGAGUAUUUAAAUACUAUCAUUGCUUCGUUAAGUACUGGCUUAAUAUGUACAUUUUGUCUCUUCAAGAGCCUUGAGAGAAUUUUUUAAAAAGAGUGUUUUAAAGGUUUUAAAAUUUCUGGUAUUCUAUCAAUUGCUAUGUGCUGGUCAGCUUGGGUCGCCAUAACAAAAUACCAUAGCCUGUGGCUUACACAGUGGAAGUCUCUUUUCUCACCGCACUGGAGGCUGGAAGUCCAAGCACAGGUGCCAGCGGGUCGGGGUCUAGGGAGGACUUCUCCUGGGGGCAGCUGCCGUCCUCCCGCUGAGUCUCACAUGGUAAAGGGUGGGCAGUGGGAAGAGGUCUCCUGUCUGUUCUCAUAAGGUCACUGAUCCCAUUCGCACGGGCUCCUCCCCUGUGACUUAAUCACCUCCCAAAGUGCCUGUCUCCAGACUCCAUCAGAGUGGGGAUUAGGGCUUCCACUCAGGAGUUGCAGUCUACACCAUGAUAGUUUCCAGGACCUUGGGCACUCAACAGGUAACAUUUAUUCCGUUAACGCAACUCAGCUCCAUCCCAGCAGCAUGCGACAGAAUGAAGAGAAGUGAACUUGGAAGGAUUGACGCUUCAAAUUGGUAAGGCUGAGGGUCUUCCUGGAGCCACGGUUGAGCCACUGUGUCCAGCAGGGCAUUUAGGGUCUCAUACGUCUGAGGGGUCACAGUGGCCCUGGCUUGUUAAUAUGCACAGGGUGCCCUGGUCACCCCUAAAGGCAGCUAAGAAGACUGCAUGGGAGUUAGGGCAAUUACUCUGAACCCUUUCUUCUUUUAAAUGAGUUUUAAUUAAAAAACUUUUUUAAGAGACAGGGUCUUGCUCUUUUGCCGAGGCUGGAGUGCAAUGGCAUGAUCAUCACUCACUGCAGCCUCAACCUCCUGGGCUCAGGGGAUCCUCUUGCCUCAGCCUCCCGAGUGGCUGGAACUACAGGUGCGAGCCACUGUGCUCAGCUUCCAAGUGAUUCUUUACGCUUGCAUUCUGGUGCCGCAUUCUUAGGCCCGUUUCUCUUAGCUGAAUUCCUGCCGCUGACUCCAGAAUUUCCACCAGGAUUCCGUGUCACUGAUACUCUAUUUCAGGCUUCUAAGAACACCGUCUCUGCUGGCUUUUAACACCUUGUGUUUUCUCUGGGAAGAAUGUCUUCUUCAGCUCCAAACCCAGUGCCCGUCUGCUCUAGGCUAACUCUCACCUUCUGCUCUGGGGAUGGGAAAAAGAGGGAAAUUAGGACUCUUCAGCGAGCUCUGUUUCUCUUUAGGGGAGGUGCUCAAGCCCUGUGAUCCUCGGUGCCAUGUUUUGAUUGCCCAGGAAUGGAAGAUUAUAAUCUGUCUGGUCUUUUCUGUUUUCAAUAGCAGGUGAGACCCUGGACUGGUCACAUUCCCUCUUCACCCUGCUCCCCUCUGGCUUCUGCAAAGAAAGUUCAUCUGAUUAUGAGUUAAUCAAUCAAAUUAGUUAAUGACUGCAUGUUGGCUGAGUGCCUUCUGUGUUUACAUAUUUUAUUGUUUUUUCACUUAUCCAGGUUCUCUCUCCCCUAUAAUUACCUGGUUAAACUCUAUCUGGAGUCUUGCUUCUUACAGGAAGCCCUCCCUGACUGCCUGGGGUGAGGGCAUGGCCCUUUCCCUGGUGCUGGGCUGUGCUCCACCUGAGUCCCCACUGUACUAUGAACUCUAUGAAGGGAGGACAGGUCUUGAUCACUGCUAUCCCCGUCCCCAGGAUAGCACUUGAGAGGUGUAACUAAGGUGUAGUCACUGAUAAGUGAUCAGUGAUUACCAGUUUGAGGACACGAGCAAACGCUGAUACACUCCUUGAAAACAGUGAGCAGUCUCUUGUGUGAUAGUAACGCCGCCUCCUCACACCUGUGUGUUUCUUGGCAUAACGUGUAUGCAUUUGAAUUGAAAAUGUACUUUUGGUGACGUCACUGAAAUCAGUAAAUCAUCUUUUUUUUGGAUGCCAUGUUGGCCUGUCGUGCUCUGCCAAGUUUUUUUUUGUCACGUAUUUUUAGUAAUAUUGAGAAACUUGCUAUAAUUCAUUAAUUUUUUCCAAAAGUAAGCCAUAAGAUACUCUAGAUACCUGUAAGUCUGGAUGUAGAUGAAGUGUUUUCAGUUGCUCUAGACCCGGGGUUCUCAACAAAGAGUGAUUUGCCGCCUGGAAGCUGUAGUGGUGCUUGGAGACAUUUGGUGGUUCCACCUGGGGAGGGUCAGAGGGUCCCUACUGGCAUUGAGUGGGUGGCGGCCUGGUUCUGCUGGUCACCCCACGGCGCAGGGAGCCCCCACAGCAGAGAAUCAGUCAUCUCCGCACUGAGACAGAGAGGGUCUUGUCUAUAUCGUUUUAACUCAUCAAUGACAUCUCUUUUUUUCCUUUUCUUUUCAUUUAGUCAAUUACAAGUGAUAAUGAUGUGUUCUUCUCUUGGCUAAGAUGGAAUCGUUCCACUCACCCCACUUCCCCCUCUUACAGGUGAACGAUCCCAGCCGUCACACCGCAGGCAAGCAUGAGCCCCCGAGGAUUGCCCUGAACACAGAGGGGCCAGGCCAGAGCCUUGGGACUUGAGGAGUGACACGGCAGUGAGUCCCCUGGCAUCCCUGCUGCCUCCCUCACACCUGGGACCGGGAACGGUGCUGCAGACACCCCUUAGCCCAGAACUGCUGACAGGUACAGACAAGGAAUCUCCAAGAAAAGCAGCUUCCCUAAGUCAAGGGUGGCAUGGGGGGGAUCUAGCAACAGGAAAUCACCCUCCAGCCUCCGGCCACACACAAAUUGAAAGGCGGAACCCCCUCUUUCCUCCUUGAGAGUUCAGCAGGUGGCUGAGUGCUCUGGUUGUGCUAGGCAGCACCUUCGAGGCACAGGGACUUCCCAAGUCCUGGCUCAGCAGGACCCACCAGGCAGCUGGGCUCAUGCUCCACUUGAAAGCAAGCCAGCAAUGGGUUCAGCACACUGGUUUUCCUGGGUCGGGGCAGUGAUGCUGAUGGGGAGUGAACUUCUUCCCUGUUCACCCACAGCAAGGUGAGGGGUGCGGGGGCUCCAUGUGGGAGACAGACACACGGCCCCACCCAGUCCCUGUGCUGCAUCUCAGCGUGUGGCCAGCCUGCUAAAAACACAAACCUUGGUAGGACUCAGACCACUGCGCUGGUGAUCACACGAACGUACCCCUCAGAUAAAACAGCACGCGCAGACAUGAGCGCAGGCAAAAGGGUGAAACCUUUAAAAAGGUCAGUGGGUUUUGUUGACGUUAAUUUAGUGUGAUAAUGUUGUGUGGUGAUGCUGGAGGGGGUCACUGGGAGAAACCGGGCGAAGGUAUGACUCAGAAUCUCUCUGUUCUCUUCUACAACUGCUUGUGAAUCUAUAGUAAUCUUAACAUUAAAAAUGUGAAGAACUAUAAAAAGAGCA
Long non-coding RNA from Callithrix jacchus (white-tufted-ear marmoset), 4637 nucleotides. The record is from Ensembl. NCBI's taxonomy places the organism in Eukaryota, Metazoa, Chordata, Mammalia, Primates, Cebidae.